This 253-nucleotide ribosomal RNA is filed under the name uncultured bacterium. RNAcentral's name for it is "partial 16S ribosomal RNA". It matches the Rfam family "Bacterial small subunit ribosomal RNA", at positions 524 to 776 of the family's 1533-position model. The record is from RNAcentral.
UACAGAGGUCUCGAGCGUUAGGCGGAAUCACUGGGCUUAAAGCGUGUGUAGGUGGAUCGUUAAGUACCUUGUGAAAUCCCACGGCUUAACCGUGGAAUUGCUGGGUAUACUGGCGGUCUUGAGCCACUUAGGGGCUACCGGAACAAAUGGUGGAGCGGUGAAAUGCGUAGAUAUCAUUUGGAACGCCAAUGGUGAAAACAGGUAGCUGGGAGUGUGCUGACGCUGAGACACGAAAGCCAGGGGAGCAAACGGG